This 597-nucleotide ribosomal RNA is filed under the name uncultured Desulfobulbaceae bacterium. Its description in RNAcentral is "bacterial SSU rRNA". It matches the Rfam family "Bacterial small subunit ribosomal RNA", at positions 28 to 597 of the family's 1533-position model. The record is from RNAcentral. Lineage: Bacteria; Pseudomonadati; Thermodesulfobacteriota; Desulfobulbia; Desulfobulbales; Desulfobulbaceae.
AACGCAAAGCUGGCGGCGUGCUUAACACAUGCAAGUCGAACGAGAAAGAGUUCCUUCGGGAACUUGAGUAGAGUGGCGCACGGGUGAGUAACGCGUAGAUAAUCUACCCUUAUAUAUGGAAUAACUGGGCGAAAGCUCAGCUAAUACCGUAUACGCUUUUCUGGGCGCGAGACCGGGGGAGGAAAGGUGGCCUCUGAUUCAAGCUAUCGUAUAAGGAUGAGUCUGCGUACCAUUAGCUAGUAGGUGGGGUAAUAGCCCACCUAGGCGACGAUGGUUAGCGGGUCUGAGAGGAUGAUCCGCCACACUGGAACUGGAACACGGACCAGACUCCUACGGGAGGCAGCAGUGAGGAAUUUUGCGCAAUGGGGGUAACCCUGACGCAGCGACGCCGCGUGGGUGAUGAAGGCUUUCGAGUCGUAAAGCCCUGUCAAGUGGGAAGAACCGUCAAUGUGCUAAUACCAUGUUGAUCUGACGGUACCACUAAAGGAAGCACCGGCUAACUCCGUGCCAGCAGCCGCGGUAAUACGGAGGGUGCAAGCGUUGUUCGGAAUUACUGGGCGUAAAGGGCGCGUAGGCGGCGCUGUAAGUCAGAUGUGA